UCCAGACUCCUACGGGAGGCAGCAGUGGGGAAUAUUGGACAAUGGGGGGAACCCUGAUCCAGCGACGCCGCGUGAGUGAAGAAGUAUUUCGGUAUGUAAAGCUCUCUCAGCAGGGAAGAAAGAAAUGACGGUACCUGACUAAGAAGCCCCGGCUAACUGCGUGCCAGCAGCCGCGGUAAUACGUAGGGGGCAAGCGUUAUCCGGAUUUACUGGGUGUAAAGGGAGCGUAGACGGCGAUGCAAGUCUGAAGUGAAAGCCCGGGGCCCAACCCCGGGACUGCUCUUGGAACUGCGUGGCUGGAGUGCAGGAGGGGCAGGCGGAAUUCCUGGUGUAGCGGUGAAAUGCGUAGAUAUCAGGAGGAACACCGGUGGCGAAGGCGGCCUGCUGGACUGCAACUGACGUUGAGGCCCGAAAGCGUGGGGAGCAAACAGGAUUAGAUACCCUGGUAGA
Molecule: ribosomal RNA, 450 nt
Filed under: uncultured bacterium
Lineage: Bacteria
Description: bacterial SSU rRNA
Rfam family: Bacterial small subunit ribosomal RNA
Source: RNAcentral